This 253-nucleotide ribosomal RNA is filed under the name uncultured bacterium. Its description in RNAcentral is "partial 16S ribosomal RNA". It matches the Rfam family "Bacterial small subunit ribosomal RNA", at positions 524 to 776 of the family's 1533-position model. The record is from RNAcentral.
UACGUAGGUGGCAAGCGUUAUCCGGAUUUAUUGGGUGUAAAGGGCGUGUAGGCGGGAAUGCAAGUCAGAUGUGAAAACUCAGGGCUCAACCCUGAGCCCGCAUUUGAAACUGUAUUUCUUGAGUGCUGGAGAGGCAAUCGGAAUUCCGUGUGUAGUGGUGAAAUGCGUAGAUAUACGGAGGAACACCAGUGGCGAAGGCGGAUUGCUGGACAGUAACUGACGCUGAGGCGCGAAAGCGUGGGGAGCAAACAGG